Molecule: long non-coding RNA, 328 nt
Filed under: Elaeis guineensis (African oil palm)
Lineage: Eukaryota; Viridiplantae; Streptophyta; Magnoliopsida; Arecales; Arecaceae
Description: long non-coding RNA (EGUI_LNC040464)
Source: RNAcentral
UCUAGAUCUAACUAUUAGAUCUAUCAGUACGACCAAAAUAAGUUAGAAAUAAUUAUCAAACCAAUUUUGAUCUUGAUCUCUUUUGGUCUAAUGGUUGGAGAAGGUAUUCUUCAAGUCACUCAUAGCCACACGAAGUCAUCUGGCCUCUACAGAAAAUCCACGUGAAGUCUGGCAUAGAUCAGGGGCUUGGAGAUGCUAGUCUGCAAGCAACUUUGACAGUUGAUCUCUUCCUUCUUCUUCAAGCACCUUGGAUACUCCAAAGCAAGAAGAGAUCUGGAGGAGGAAGAGAAGAAGAGGAGGAGAGGCUUUGGAAAUGAAAACACCAGCA